RNAcentral lists this long non-coding RNA (2699 nucleotides) under Equus caballus (horse). RNAcentral describes it as "lncRNA (ENSECAG00000028691.2)". Lineage: Eukaryota; Metazoa; Chordata; Mammalia; Perissodactyla; Equidae. The record is from RNAcentral.
ACUGCACGAAACUAACUCGAUAGUUUUUAUUUUGCUUCUUGAUACACACACUUUCUGCCAACACCCUACGGAGCCGGCAAGUCCUGUGACAGGCUUUCCUUGUACUUGCCUUGAUUCUCACUGUGCUCUCAUCACGUCGUGGAUCUGAAGUUCUGUGCUCAUGAGUCAUCGUGAGCAUUCUACAUGGCUGCGGCAGCAAGGGCCGGUGUGGGGUAAGAAUAUUGUAUGCAUCCUCUCUGCACAGGGGCAUACUCCAUUGAUCCACCAGUUCAGAGAUAAAAUGUUUAAAAGUUUCAAACAGCAACAACACAGGGUGAACCCGAGCUCAGGGAUUCUCUGGGCAUACAGCCCUCAGGCUCCUCGAUCCUGAAGCUGGCCCUGUUUGCAGUCAGACCUCCCUCUGCCUCUAGCCUCUGGCCAUCACUGAUCUGUUUUCUGUCCCUACAGUUUUGCCAUUUCAAGAAUGCAACGUAAAUGAAUCACACAGUAUAUAACUUUCUAACUUUCGAGUCUGGCUCCUUUCAUGUAGCAUUUGCCUCUGAGGUUCAUCUUUGUUGCAGCAUAUCAGCACUCCAUUGUGUGGGUGUACACAGUUUAUUUCUCCUCCCCGGUGGACGGACAGCCUUAAUCUUAGCACUGAGGGGUGUGCCUGUUCUUUGAAUUUUCAGGUUAAUCAGAAUUUUUUUUUUUUGAGGCAGAUCUUGGUUGCAGCAGCCCGAUCCAGUUCCUUUGACCAUAAGCCCUCUCUCCUUUAUGGCAAUGGUAGGUGAGGAGGAAAAUAACAUGCAAGUGAAGCAAACAGUGAACUCCCAGCCCAGGAAGGUCUGGGAAGGAGUGGGGAAGGGUAUACUACAGGAAAGAUCAUAAAACAAACAGGAAGAAUGCGCGUUAUGUAUGAAAGGGUUACCUUGCUCAUCAUGCUCGAAGGAAUGCCGACUUCUUACUUUUCCAGUUGAAUUUGUUCUUAGAAUAAAUCCAUAGAUCUGAAUCUACAUUGGAGAGAUUGGUCUACUCUAGCCCUAUGCUUUAAAGAAAAUUCUGGAAAUCAGGAAUGCAGACCCAUCACUGCCCUGGCACCCUGAGCAGGCAGCGUUCAGAGCACUCCAGUUAGUUCUUGCUGGGCUGGCUCUCUGGGUCGUGUCUUACCUGGAGGGUUGGACCCACCCAGAACAGGAAGUAGCACAGAGAGUCAUGCACCACGUCUAGAGCAUUAAACAGGACUCAGUUGGCUGAUGCAUUAAGCUAAACCUGUUUAGGUGGCCUCGAGGGUUUAAAGAUGUUGCUGAGGCUGUCAGCGGCUGUCGGCAGCCCCUCAGCUCUCGCGUUACUUUGCUCCACGGGCUUCCUCUUGCAAACCCCGUGGCUCUGCCUACUAGAGCAUGCUUGGCAUGUGUGCAGGGCUGGUCACACGUGGUGGCGGUUAGUCCUCAGUGAAAUGAUGGACAACUGUGGUGUGGUUUGUGCAGUCUCUCGGAGGCCCCCAGCGGGGCUGAGCUCCAGUUGCCCACAGCGGACAUCUUCACACUCCCUGUGCUGCCUCUUUUCCCUGCUUUGUCUCACUUCCCCACUCCCUGGGAUGACCUCCUAAAAGAACUAUUUGCACUGGAAUCUUUGUCUCCCGGACAGCUGAAGAGGUUAAGCUCCUACAUAGGAGGCCAGUGUAUUGUGACAUCAGAGCCUUCUUUGUCUACCAGCCAGGUCUCUGCUCAGAUGGCAUCGUGGACACUCUUUAUGAGAACCUACCUUGCAGUGCUGUAGCUGCCGUCUGCUUGUGCUUUGGCUCCUAAGCGCAUGGUUAAGGAAAUACUCAGCUUUCAGGGUUUUUGUUUGUUUUAUCACGAGUGAAAUUCCUGGCACAGAGCAGGGAUCCAAUGUCAUUGCUGUUACUGUUGAUGAAGAUGAAAUGGUGAUCAAGACUAAAGAAGGUGAAGAAGACUAACGGUGAUGAAGAUAAAGAUGACACUGGGAAUGUAUGAUCCUAACCAGAGCUGGCGGAAGAAGCCACACUGAGCUCUUAGUCAUCUCAGCAUGUGCCUUGGAAGUUUUGUUUAUUGUUUACCAAAAGUCAUCUCGCGGAAAGGAGGGGCUAGGGUCUGGUAAGUCGAAGGCUCCAGUGUGGGGGUUCCAGUCACGUGACAUCUCCUGCUGCCCUCCCUGGGGGCCACUCCUGGCUAAUGUAUUACCCGCUUCGCGGCACACUUCACUUGGUGGCAGCUUCACUUGGGCCAAGUCAGUGCUGUUUCCUGGGUUCGUGGAUUGAAACUUAUUUCUUCAGAGAGCAAGCCAUCAACAAUGAGCAGGCUGGUGACCAAAGGAGGCCUUCUUUACUGUGGGGUGUCUUCUGAUGCAGCAGUGAGGGAGGGCAGGUCGGUUGAGAUCACCAACCCAUCAACCGGCCCUGUGCAAAUGCCCAAUAAGUGACCCUUUUGAUGUCAAGGGGCUGAAACUUCCACCCUCAGAUCGUACCAACACCACCAUUUGUGAACAUGCGUCCUAUGAGGAGCCAUGAAGCUUGACGAUGCUUGUGCAGAUCAUUGAUUACCUCACUUCUCCUCUCCAGUCAUCUGUCUCCACACUUCAGACCGCCCUGCCCUUCAUCCUAUACAUUUUACCCCAAGCCCUGGAUCGGGGAGACAGAUCCGAGAGCUUAUACCUCCUGUCUCCUUGCAGAUCGAUCUCGCAAUAAAUCUGUAUUCUUU